UGGGGAAUAUUGCACAAUGGGGGAAACCCUGAUGCAGCGACGCCGCGUGAACGAAGAAGGUAUUCGUAUCGUAAAGUUCUGUCCUAUGGGAAGAUAAUGACAGUACCAUAGAAGAAAGCUCCGGUUAAAUACGUGCCAGCAGCCGCGGUAAUACGUAUGGAGCGAGCGUUGUCCGGAAUUAUUGGGCGUAAAGGGUACGCAGGCGGUUUAAUAAGUCGAAUGUUAAAGAUCGGGGCUCAACCCCGUAAAGCAUUGGAAACUGAUAGACUUGGGUAGUGGGGAGGAAAGUGGAAUUCCUAGUGUGGUGGUGAAAUACGUGGAUAUUAGGAGAAAUACCAGGAGCGAAGGCGACUUUCUGGACACAAACUGACGCUGGGGUACGAAAGCGUGGGGGGCAAACAGG
This 403-nucleotide ribosomal RNA is filed under the name Actinomycetes bacterium. RNAcentral's name for it is "Actinobacteria bacterium partial 16S ribosomal RNA". It matches the Rfam family "Bacterial small subunit ribosomal RNA", at positions 355 to 776 of the family's 1533-position model. The record is from RNAcentral. Lineage: Bacteria; Bacillati; Actinomycetota; Actinomycetes.